CAUUGUUUCUUGUUUUUUUCA
This 21-nucleotide microRNA is filed under the name Arabidopsis lyrata. RNAcentral's name for it is "aly-miR837-5p". Its record names the gene aly-miR837-5p. Lineage: Eukaryota; Viridiplantae; Streptophyta; Magnoliopsida; Brassicales; Brassicaceae. The record is from miRBase by way of RNAcentral.